GAUGAACGCUAGCGGCAGGCUUAACACAUGCAAGUCGAACGGUAACAGUCCCGCUUGCGGGAGCUGACGAGUGGCGCACGGGUGCGUAACGCGUAUACAACCUGUCCUGUAUAAAGGGAUAGCCACUGGAAACGGUGAUUAAUACCUUAUAAGACUACAGAAACACAUGUUUCAGUAGCCAAAGCUCCGGCGAUACAGGAUGGGCCCGCGUUUGAUUAGUUAGUUGGUGAGGUAAUGGCUCACCAAGGCGACGAUCAAUAGCCGACCUGAGAGGGUGAUCGGCCACACUGGAACUGAGACACGGUCCAG
This 309-nucleotide ribosomal RNA is filed under the name uncultured bacterium. RNAcentral describes it as "bacterial SSU rRNA". It matches the Rfam family "Bacterial small subunit ribosomal RNA", at positions 28 to 334 of the family's 1533-position model. The record is from RNAcentral.